CGACGGAAGAUCUGACUCCGCAGUUAGCGUGCUUGGGCGAGAGUAGUACUAGGAUGGGUGACCUCCUGGGAAGUCCUCGUGUUGCAUUCCC
This 91-nucleotide ribosomal RNA is filed under the name Phaseolus vulgaris (common bean). The record is from RNAcentral. Lineage: Eukaryota; Viridiplantae; Streptophyta; Magnoliopsida; Fabales; Fabaceae.